Molecule: ribosomal RNA, 530 nt
Filed under: uncultured bacterium
Lineage: Bacteria
Description: bacterial SSU rRNA
Rfam family: Bacterial small subunit ribosomal RNA
Source: RNAcentral
AAUAGAUACCCUGGUAGUCCACGCCGUAAACGAUGAGUGCUAAGUGUUAGAGGGUUUCCGCCCUUUAGUGCUGCAGCUAACGCAUUAAGCACUCCGCCUGGGGAGUACGGUCGCAAGACUGAAACUCAAAGGAAUUGACGGGGGGCCCGCACAAGCGGUGGAGCAUGUGGUUUAAUUCGAAGCAACGCGAAGAACCUUACCAGGUCUUGGCAUCCCACUGACCGGUAUAGAGAUAUACCUUUCCCUUCGGGGACAGUGGUGACAGGUGGUGCAUGGUUGUCGUCAGCUCGUGUCGUGAGAUGUUGGGUUAAGUCCCGCAACGAGCGCAACCCUUGAUCUUAGUUGCCAGCAUUUAGUUGGGCACUCUAAGGUGACUGCCGGUGACAAACCGGAGGAAGGUGGGGAUGACGUCAAAUCAUCAUGCCCCUUAUGACCUGGGCUACACACGUGCUACAAUGGAUGGUACAAAGGGCUGCAAGACUGCGAAGUCAAGCCAAUCCCAUAAAACCAUUCUCAGUUCGGAUUGCAGG